This 263-nucleotide unclassified non-coding RNA is filed under the name plant metagenome. Its description in RNAcentral is "partial contains small subunit ribosomal RNA, internal transcribed spacer 1, and 5.8S ribosomal RNA". The record is from RNAcentral.
UUUCCGUAGGUGAACCCGCGGAAGGAUCAUUAUUGUAUAACCGAGGUGCGAGGGCUGUCGCUGACCCGAAAGGUCGUGCACGCCCGAGUGCCCUCACACACAUCCAUCUCACCCCUAUGUGCACCACCGCGUGGGUCCCCCUUUGGCUUGUUCGGAGGGGGGCUUACGUUUUCACACAAACUUUGUAUGCAGUGUAGAAUGUAUUUUUUGUUUUUGCGAUCACGCAAUCAAUACAACUUUCAACAACGGAUCUCUUGGCUCUC